This 678-nucleotide ribosomal RNA is filed under the name Faecalibacterium prausnitzii. RNAcentral's name for it is "bacterial SSU rRNA". It matches the Rfam family "Bacterial small subunit ribosomal RNA", at positions 476 to 1162 of the family's 1533-position model. The record is from RNAcentral. Lineage: Bacteria; Bacillati; Bacillota; Clostridia; Eubacteriales; Oscillospiraceae.
UACUCAACAUUGCAGUGACGCCUAACUACGUGCCAGCAGCCGCGGUAAAACGUAGGUCACAAGCGUUGUCCGGAAUUACUGGGUGAAAAGGGAGCGCAGGCGGGAAAACAAGUUGGAAGUGAAAUCCAUGGGCUCAACCCAUGAACUGCUUUCAAAACUGUUUUUCUUGAGUAGUGCAGAGGUAGGCGGAAUUCCCGGUGUAGCGGUGGAAUGCGUAGAUAUCGGGAGGAACACCAGUGGCGAAGGCGGCCUACUGGGCACCAACUGACGCUGAGGCUCGAAAGUGUGGGUAGCAAACAGGAUUAGAUACCCUGGUAGUCCACACCGUAAACGAUGAUUACUAGGUGUUGGAGGAUUGACCCCUUCAGUGCCGCAGUUAACACAAUAAGUAAUCCACCUGGGGAGUACGACCGCAAGGUUGAAACUCAAAGGAAUUGACGGGGGCCCGCACAAGCAGUGGAGUAUGUGGUUUAAUUCGACGCAACGCGAAGAACCUUACCAAGUCUUGACAUCCCUUGACGAACAUAGAAAUAUGUUUUCUCUUCGGAGCAAGGAGACAGGUGGUGCAUGGUUGUCGUCAGCUCGUGUCGUGAGAUGUUGGGUUAAGUCCCGCAACGAGCGCAACCCUUAUGGUCAGUUACUACGCAAGAGGACUCUGGCCGGACUGCCGUUGACAAA